GGGAUUGUGGUUUAGUGGUAGAGCACUUGCCUUGUAUGCAUGAGGCACUGGGUUCAAUCCUCAGCACCA
RNAcentral lists this transfer RNA (69 nucleotides) under Ictidomys tridecemlineatus (thirteen-lined ground squirrel). RNAcentral's name for it is "Spermophilus tridecemlineatus (thirteen-lined ground squirrel) tRNA". It matches the Rfam family "tRNA". Rfam says of the family: Transfer RNA (tRNA) molecules are approximately 80 nucleotides in length. Their secondary structure includes four short double-helical elements and three loops (D, anti-codon, and T loops). Further hydrogen bonds mediate the characteristic L-shaped molecular structure. tRNAs have two regions of fundamental functional importance: the anti-codon, which is responsible for specific mRNA codon recognition, and the 3' end, to which the tRNAs corresponding amino acid is attached (by aminoacyl-tRNA synthetases). tRNAs cope with the degeneracy of the genetic code in two manners: having more than one tRNA (with a specific anti-codon) for a particular amino acid; and 'wobble' base-pairing, i.e. permitting non-standard base-pairing at the 3rd anti-codon position. Lineage: Eukaryota; Metazoa; Chordata; Mammalia; Rodentia; Sciuridae. The record is from Rfam by way of RNAcentral.